GAUGAGCGCUAGCUACAGGCUUCACACAUGCAAGUCGAGGGGUAACGAGAGGAAAGCUUGCUUUCCUUGUCGACGACCGGCGCACGGGUGAGUAACGCGUAUCCAACCUGCCCCCAACUAGGGAAUAACCUUGCGAAAGUAAGACUAAUACCCUAUAAUUUCCUCAGAUGUCAUCUGACGAGGAAUAAAGAUUUAUCGGUUGUGGAUGGGGAUGCGUCUGAUUAGCUUGUUGGCGGGGUAACGGCCCACCAAGGCAACGAUCAGUAGGGGUUCUGAGAGGAAGGUCCCCCACAUUGGAACUGAGACACGGUCCAAACUCCUACGGGAGGCAGCAGUGAGGAAUAUUGGUCAAUGGGCGGAAGCCUGAACCAGCCAAGUAGCGUGCAGGAUGACGGCCCUAUGGGUUGUAAACUGCUUUUAUACAGGAAUAAAGUUAGCCACGUGUGGUUAUUUGUAGGUACUGUAUGAAUAAGGACCGGCUAAUUCCGUGCCAGCCGCCGCUGUAA
Molecule: ribosomal RNA, 506 nt
Filed under: uncultured bacterium
Lineage: Bacteria
Description: partial 16S ribosomal RNA
Rfam family: Bacterial small subunit ribosomal RNA
Source: RNAcentral